Long non-coding RNA from Homo sapiens (human), 1267 nucleotides. Lineage: Eukaryota; Metazoa; Chordata; Mammalia; Primates; Hominidae. The record is from Ensembl.
GGGGAGCAGAAGGCCGCGGGCGGGCGGCUGGCGCGCUGUGUACUUAGGUCGUGUGCUGGGGCUUUUCUCUCCCAGGAGCCGGCGGGGGGAGGGGAGGGGGAGGGGCCACCGCUCCGCCUUCUCCUUUUCGCAAUGUUGACGCAAUCUAUAAAUAGUGGAACAAAAGGACCAACUUCCUCGGAGCUUUGCUGAAACUGCACAAAAAAUCGAGCCGGGGGGUUCCCUGGUCCCCGGCGAUGGGGCGGGGAGCGCUGCGCCGGGGGAGGGGGCGGGCGCGGCGGCGCGGGCCCCGCCGAGGGGGGACACCUGGCUGAGGCACAGCUGCCGCCGUGCCUUUCCGCGCGAGCCCAGAGCUCCGAUCCCUGCGCGGGCUCGAGAGCUCGCCCCGAACGGGGGUCUUCCUCCUCCGCCGUUGACAGGUUUUGACCUGUAGCAGAGAACCAAUUCUGGAGAACAGCCUCACUUCUUUGAUUGAAUACUUACAUAAUGCAUUGGAACAUGACAUGAGAUUAAGGUUUAAUAAUGAUAGAAUGAAGACCACAAUAAAAGAGACCUCUACUUAGCUCAGCAAUUCUUACCUUUCUUACCUAUUUGAUGAAGAUGUCUUUUGAAAGGUGUACUGCAAGGAACAAAAUGUUUGUAAAUUCUCCUUUUACCAAGGUGGAUAAUUACUGUACCUUCCUCAUGGAAAAAGUUUUAUUUAAAGUGUUAUUUCUCAUUGAAUACUAUCAAAAAGGAAAAAAAAAUGACCUAAACUUUUGAGAUAGAUUUGGCUCUAGGCCUACUCUAGGUGCGGUACUUCACUAUAGUUUAUAAAAGAUGGUCCCUGUCAGCAAAGAACUGUAACCUGUAUGAGAAUAUUAUACUAACAUACAAGAAACAAGUAGAGAAUAAUGGAAUGUAAACUCUGGCUUGCUAACUUAAGUGUGGUAGAAGCUUGAAGGAAAUGUGGACUUAAACUUAUCAGAGAAGACUUAUAAGAGGAUAUGAAAGGUGUAAAUUUUGAUACCACCAUUGCCGCCUUCCCCUCAAAAAAGGUGAGAACUGACUAAACUACUGGUACUUAGACCAUGUGGAGAAGGAACUGAAAAUGGAAACAGAAACACGUCUGUACAGAGCAGAGUGUCAGAUAAUAGCUCAUUUUAGUAGAGGGCAAUAAAUGCCACAUGAGAUGAUCACCUCAGCAGAAAACUGUAAGUAACUGGGGACUUACAGGAGAAUUGAACAGUUGUUUCUGCUGACUCAGUAAAAAGUCUUCAUUUUAUAA